Molecule: long non-coding RNA, 293 nt
Filed under: Mytilus galloprovincialis (Mediterranean mussel)
Lineage: Eukaryota; Metazoa; Mollusca; Bivalvia; Mytilida; Mytilidae
Source: RNAcentral
GAUGAAUUAUCACUGUUAGUGCAGUCAUUAUUAAUGUAGAAUUUUCAAAGAUGCGAGGAAUUUUUAUUGUAGAAUUAUGUGAUAAAUGCACUUGCAACAAACGAAAAAACUUAGUUGAUGACUUUAGGAUUUAUGAUACAUGUAUUUUCAAAUUGAAAUACAAACUCCUCAUUCAUUCUUCAUCAAAUAUAUAGCUUUUCAAACUUGUAACAAAAGCGAUUCUCAAAAUGAAAAAUUCUAGAUCCGCGAAUGGAUACUACCGCAGAGGUAAAACCAUACACAUUUGGGUUAUU